GGAACACAAUUGGAGCGAACGACGAAUUUUUUCGCGGCGUAUGUUCGUCGUCAAAAAUAAAACACAUAUGUGUAUAUGGAAGUGCACACAAUCACGGCACCGGCGAAAAUUUCGUCGGUCGCCGCGAACUCAAUUAGCUUUAUUUCUAUUUCAUACGCCGGCGACCGGCGAACAAAACAGUACAAGGUGGCCAUACUUGUACGAAUUUUAUGUGUAUUAGUAAAUAAAGUUACUUUUUACUUUAAAAUUUGUUAUGGUCACUCUACUAUCUGUUACUCGUAUAAAAAAACAUAAUUAAUUUGUUUAUUUAUUUGUGUACUUGCGCCUGAGUGAAGAUGGAUAUCAGUGAAUUUAUAAUAGAGAAGAUGGACAUAAGUGAAAUUAUAAUAGAGAACGUAAAGAAUUAUGUGUUCUUGUAUAAUUCAUUGUAGUCAACAAAUGAGCAAAAAGUAAACAACUUCAUCAGCUGUUUUUUAAUUUCGUCGGUAUUGUGUUCCAUACGACGAAUUUUCGCGGCUCAUUUUGUCGCCGCGUAGGGCGAAAUUCGUCGUUCGCUCCAAUUGUGUUCCUAGCAUUAAGCUGCAUUUUUACGGUUGGGUUUGAAAUAAACUCCUUAUUCUUCCACUGUAAUACUCGUAUUACGUCAAAGUUUGGUAUGUGAUUGUUACGCUUACAUUGUUCUUCAAGUGUAUUUUUUGUAUAUUGUAUUGGUUGCGCAUUUUAAUGUCUGAAUUAUGUCCCGAAAUUGAAGGGGUUCUAAAAUUACAGAGAAGCAUUAGAGCCCAAAGAUUAACAACAGUAAAUAUGAGUAUUAGAAAACACAACAAGUAUACAGGCGAUCAUGGUUCAAUGAAUUAAAGGCGAUACUUAUGUAUUACGAGUAAGGCACUGGCGGCUUAUAUUUCAAUAAAACAUUUGUUUUAAAUAAAAGACUCUGCCGGAACCUCAACAUGCCAGCCCUCUUUGAGUGGUGCCCCUUAAUGUGUGUAAUCAGUAGAAAAUAGGUAAAACCGCAAAUUCUCUCUUUGAAUCUGUUCAACUUAUUUUUUUGGAAAGAAAUACACAAAAGCAACAAAUGUGUAACCAUACUAAAUUUUUUGCCGAUUCAUCAUAUAUUGAGUCACCUCUAGUGGCAAAUGACCACCACUAGUUGAACAUUUUUUAAAAAUUCCCAAAUUCGUUGUAAAUGGUGGAGGAUAUUCAAGGUUUGGCCCGGCCGAACUUACUGCUUUUUACUCUUUUGUUGUUCCUAUUAUUUUCAUUGUUUGUUAUUAAUCCAUUUUUUAUUUAUUAUUGUUGUUGUAUUCAAUGUAUGUAUUAUGCCUUAAACGCUAUAUUAUUCAUCGCACUAACUGCAAGCUCUUUUUCACCACACCAGCUGAUCAAUAGCCGAAUAAUGGCAAUUAACAGAUCGAUCAUACAUAACAAUAGUACAGAAAAGAAAUGCAUAUCUUAAUUGCUAGUGUACGUGUUUAGCUCAGAGGGGCUACGCCGAUGGGAGUAAAACGCCGAAUGCGUCGAGCAGUGGACCGUAGGGGGGAAAUAUAAAAAGAAAUAAAACAAGAGUUUUUUUUAAUAUAUACAACUAUUUAUUCUUAGUUUGGUAAGAGGUAACGUUAUUACAUGUGGCAACAAUAUGCCUUUCUACGCACAACGAUGUCCGAAUGACAGCGAAAAACUACUUGAUGUCUAAAGGAGGCGGCAAAACAAGGGACAACUAAUUACUCGUUAAAAUGUCAAAGGCGCUACCACAAGGUUGCAAUAAACCGUAGCGCGUACAUUUUAACGAAUAAUUAAGGACCAAACCAGGGGUCAAUACAAAGCAAUAUUUAAUGCAAUUCUAAAUUAAACAUGCCGACGCCCCUGAAACAUCAAAGCAUGUUUCAACAUAAUUAAACAAAAUCGAAAUAAGUUCCGAUGGUAGGUACUGGACGCAUAGUUCAGUGUGAGCUUUUUAU
Molecule: long non-coding RNA, 1958 nt
Organism: Musca domestica (house fly)
Lineage: Eukaryota; Metazoa; Arthropoda; Insecta; Diptera; Muscidae
Exons: 3
Source: RefSeq, a predicted model, not a curated record